This 74-nucleotide transfer RNA is filed under the name Deltaproteobacteria bacterium. Its description in RNAcentral is "tRNA-Met". It matches the Rfam family "tRNA". Rfam says of the family: Transfer RNA (tRNA) molecules are approximately 80 nucleotides in length. Their secondary structure includes four short double-helical elements and three loops (D, anti-codon, and T loops). Further hydrogen bonds mediate the characteristic L-shaped molecular structure. tRNAs have two regions of fundamental functional importance: the anti-codon, which is responsible for specific mRNA codon recognition, and the 3' end, to which the tRNAs corresponding amino acid is attached (by aminoacyl-tRNA synthetases). tRNAs cope with the degeneracy of the genetic code in two manners: having more than one tRNA (with a specific anti-codon) for a particular amino acid; and 'wobble' base-pairing, i.e. permitting non-standard base-pairing at the 3rd anti-codon position. RNAcentral also lists the same sequence under 1 other name. The record is from RNAcentral. Lineage: Bacteria; Pseudomonadati; Myxococcota; Myxococcia.
GGCGGCGUAGCUCAGUUGGCUAGAGCGAGGGUCUCAUAAUCCCUAGGUCCGCGGUUCGAUUCCGCGCGCCGCCA